AACGAACGCUGGCGGCAGGCCUAACACAUGCAAGUCGAACGCCCGUAGCAAUACGGGAGUGGCAGACGGGUGAGUAACGCGUGGGAACGUGCCCUUCGGUUCGGAAUAACUCAGGGAAACUUGAGCUAAUACCGGAUACGUCCGUAAGGAGAAAGAUUUAUCGCCGAAGGAUCGGCCCGCGUCGAAUUAGCUAGUUGGUGAGGUAACGGCCCACCAAGGCGACGAUCCGUAGCUGGUCUGAGAGGAUGAUCAGCCACACUGGGACUGAGACACGGCCCAGACUCCUACGGGAGGCAGCAGUGGGGAAUAUUGGACAAUGGGCGAAAGCCUGAUCCAGCCAUGCCGCGUGAGUGAAGAAGGCCUUAGGGUUGUAAAGCUCUUUCAGCGGGGAAGAUAAUGACGGUACCCGCAGAAGAAGCCCCGCUAACUUCGUGCCAGCCGCCGCUGUAAC
This 451-nucleotide ribosomal RNA is filed under the name uncultured bacterium. RNAcentral's name for it is "bacterial SSU rRNA". It matches the Rfam family "Bacterial small subunit ribosomal RNA", at positions 29 to 524 of the family's 1533-position model. The record is from RNAcentral.